UCUCCCCCCUCGCCCCAAACACACAGCUCAGGAUGCUUACGUGUUUGUCACCCCCUGGGUCCCAGCUGCUCCCUCCCUAUAGGCCUGUCUCCCACCAUUUUCCUCUGGCCUCCCUCUUGUUUUCCUUGCACAAAACUCAAUUUGCAUCUUGAUGGAGAGGAAUAAUUAGAACCCUCCAGCAUGAAUAAUUCUAGGCAAAUUAAUUUUUAUGCCAAUCAGGGAAAAUUAAUUGGCUUCAUGUUUUAUAUUUUCCAGGCGGCUCCCCGGGCGGAGGCCCCACCUCUUCGCAGCCCCAGGUUCUUCUUCCCCAGCACUUUGGAGAAAAUUGCUUGUUAGUUUUUGUGUGUGUUUGUUUGUUUUCAAGGCUUCCACAGGCAGCAGAGCUACCCCUCCUUUCAAAUAAACGACCCAUUUAACAAGCAAGAUAAAGACCUCCUCAGAGCGCUACUGGCUGAGCAAAUCCACUGGGUCCUUUACAUCCCAAUGUCUUUUUAACCUUUUAUUUGCUUCUGUGGAAAACAAAAACACACAGAGAAGCACAUGACAGAUGAAAAGUAACAAUACCAUCAUCACACCUAAGAAAAUGAACACAUCUCUAAUACUGUACUUAUUUACAUCGUCUUAAUUAUCCCCAAAAUGUCUUUGAUGAAUGUAGAAGUUUUAGUUUGCCUCUUCUUAAAUUUCAUUAAAUGUGUACUGUAUGUACUCUUUUGUGUUUCUUUCACUCAUGAUUAUAUCUGGGUGUCUCACUCAUUGUUAUAUGUGACUGUAGUUAAUUUUUGUUCACUGCUAUGUUAAACUCCAUUUUAUGAAUAUGCAUAAGUUAUGUGUCUAGUCUUCUGCUCAUAGAUAAUUGAGUUGUCUUCCAUUCCUAAAUAAAGCCACUAUUGAGACUCUU
Molecule: long non-coding RNA, 898 nt
Organism: Myotis lucifugus (little brown bat)
Lineage: Eukaryota; Metazoa; Chordata; Mammalia; Chiroptera; Vespertilionidae
Exons: 2
Source: RefSeq, a predicted model, not a curated record